AACGCGAAGAACCUUACCUGGGCUCGAACGGCUUAAGAUCAUCUUUGGAAACAGAGACUUCUCGCAAGAGACUUGAGUCGAGGUGCUGCAUGGCUGUCGUCAGCUCGUGUCGUGAGAUGUUGGGUUAAGUCCCGCAACGAGCGCAACCCUUGUCCUGUGUUGCCACUCCGUAAGGAAGCACUCUCAGGAGACCGCCAGCGAUAAGUUGGAGGAAGGUGGGGAUGAUGUCAAGUCAUCAUGGCCUUUAUGUCCAGGGCUACACACGUGCUACAAUGGGCGGUACAAAGCGCUGCAAACCCGCGAGGGGGAGCCAAUCGCAAAAAACCGUUCUCAGUUCGGAUCGCAGGCUGCAACUCGCCUGCGUGAAGCUGGAAUCGCUAGUAAUGCCGUAUCAGAAUGAUGGCGUGAAUACGUUCCCGGGCCUUGUA
This 428-nucleotide ribosomal RNA is filed under the name uncultured Acidobacterium sp. RNAcentral describes it as "bacterial SSU rRNA". It matches the Rfam family "Bacterial small subunit ribosomal RNA", at positions 958 to 1385 of the family's 1533-position model. Lineage: Bacteria; Pseudomonadati; Acidobacteriota; Terriglobia; Terriglobales; Acidobacteriaceae. The record is from RNAcentral.